This 505-nucleotide ribosomal RNA is filed under the name uncultured bacterium. Its description in RNAcentral is "bacterial SSU rRNA". It matches the Rfam family "Bacterial small subunit ribosomal RNA", at positions 1 to 523 of the family's 1533-position model. The record is from RNAcentral.
UAGAGUUUGAUCCUGGCUCAGGAUGAACGCUAGCUACAGGCUUAACACAUGCAAGUCGAGGGGCAGCAUUGGGAUAGCUUGCUAUUCCAGAUGGCGACCGGCGCACGGGUGAGUAACGCGUAUCCAACCUUCCCUAUAGUAGAGAAUAGCCCGGCGAAAGUCGAAUUAAUGCUCUAUGUUGUGUUUUGAGGACAUCUGAGGAACACCAAAGGUUCACCGCUAUAGGAUGGGGAUGCGUCUGAUUAGCUUGUUGGCGGGGUAACGGCCCACCAAGGCGACGAUCAGUAGGGGUUCUGAGAGGAAGGUCCCCACAUUGGUACUGAGACACGGACCAAACUCCUACGGGAGGCAGCAGUGAGGAUAUUGGUCAUGGGCGAGAGCCUGACCAGCCAGUAGCGUGCAGGACGACUGCCUAUGGUUGUAACUGCUUUUAUCAGGAAUAAGUGCGCACGUGUGCGUUUGUUGUACUGAUGAUAAGACGGCUAUUCGUGCAGCAGCGCGUAUA